UACGGAGGGAGCGAGCGUUGUUCGGAAUCACUGGGCGUAAAGGGCGCGUAGGCGGUCGUGUAAGUCGGGUGUGAAAUUCCGGGGCUCAACCCCGCAAACUGCAUUCGAUACUGCUCGACUAAAGAGAGGUAAGGGCGAGGGAAAUUCCCGGGGUAGCGGGGGAAGGCGAAAAUAUCGGAAAAAACACCGGGGGCGAAGGCGUCUCGCUGGCCCUUUUCUGACGCUGAAGCGCGAAAGCGUGGGGAGCAAACAGGAUUAAAUACCCUGGUAGUCCACGCCGUAAACGAUGGGUACUAGGUGUUGGGAGGAUUGACCCUCUCAGUACCGACGCUAACGCAUUAAGAACCCCGGCUGGGGAGUACGGCCGCAAGGCUGAAACUCAAAGGAAUUGACGGGGGCCCGCACAAGCGGAGGAGCAUGUGGUUUAAUUCGAAGCAACGCGAAGAACCUUACCUGGGCUUGACAUGUUGGUAGUACUUCCCUGGAAACAGGGGGGACCCUUCGGGGAAGCAUCACAGGUGCUGCAUGGCUGUCGUCAGCUCGUGUCGUGAGAUGUUGGGUUAAGUCCCGCAUCGAGCGCAAACCUCGCCCGUAGUCGCCAGCGGUUCGGCCGGGGCCUUUUCGGGGGCUGCCGGUGAUAAACCGGAGGGAGGUGGGGAAGGCGUCAAGUCAUCAUGGCCCUUAUGUGCAGGGCGACACACGUUCUUCAAUGGCCGGUACAGAGGGCAGCGAUACCGCGAGGUGGAGCGAAUUCCAAAAAACCGGUUCAAGUUCGGAUUGCAGUUUGAAACUUGGCUGCAAGAAACUGGAAUCGGUAGUAAUUGUGGGUCAACCAUAUCACGGUGAAUACGUUCCCGGGCCU
RNAcentral lists this ribosomal RNA (862 nucleotides) under uncultured bacterium. RNAcentral describes it as "SSU rRNA". It matches the Rfam family "Bacterial small subunit ribosomal RNA", at positions 524 to 1381 of the family's 1533-position model. The record is from RNAcentral.